Molecule: small nucleolar RNA, 125 nt
Organism: Sorex fumeus (smoky shrew)
Lineage: Eukaryota; Metazoa; Chordata; Mammalia; Eulipotyphla; Soricidae
Product: small nucleolar RNA SNORA77
Exons: 1
Source: RefSeq, a predicted model, not a curated record
UCGGAUUCACUUCGUGGUCUAUUGCAGCCUAAACUUGGGCAGAUUUUCUGUCUGCCACAAAAACAGUCUCAGGGUUGUGACCGCCUUCACCUAUCAAGGUGCUAUAGCUGCAUGGAGAGAGGGGA